Long non-coding RNA from Phalaenopsis equestris, 1380 nucleotides. RefSeq lists it as uncharacterized. The transcript has 3 exons. The record is from RefSeq and is a predicted model, not a curated record. Lineage: Eukaryota; Viridiplantae; Streptophyta; Magnoliopsida; Asparagales; Orchidaceae.
AAGAAUGUAGAAGGAGAUGCAGAGCAGCCAUGCAUGCAUGGGUUUUUGAAAUAUUCCAUCUCUUGCACACUGGAAGAUGAGGACAAGCCGCCAUUAAUGGCGGCCUUAUGAUCUGUUGAUCCUUGAGUUCAGGCUUUCGGUUUGCAAGGCAUGGAAUGAAUCAACUAUUCAUGAUAAGCUCCCCAUGUCAUAAGCUAAGAAAGGCUUUUUUUUUUUUUUUUUCAUACAUACAUAUAUAUGCAUAUAUAUAUCAUUCCUAAACUUGAUAAAGCAUAAUUAUUUUUAAUAUAAAUGCAUGAAUACCUAUCUUUCAUGUAGGUAUAAUACCUAAGUUUCUACUUAUAACACCUUAGUUUAUAACAAGUUCAUCUCUAUAUAUGUAUAAUGCUUGACCUAAUUGUAUCCUCAUUUGUCCAUGUACAUAUGUGAAUUAUCAUUUUAUUAGAUUUUUGUGUUGAUUUUUUUAUAAGAUUAUCAUAAAUAUGUUACCCUAAAAAGGAUGUUUAUCGCUAAGAUUAUUAGGACCAUUAUAUCAUUUUAUUUUUUUAUUUGACAUUUUUGUUUUCAAAGGGAAUGAUCAGAGGCUAUUAUACGGUCUCCAACCACUCCUAAUGUGUCUAACAAUUCAAGUACCACAUUCUUAAGAUCAACUGUGCUAGAGGGAAUUCGAGCCCCCGACCUGAGGGGUCUUACACCAAGAAUGCUAACCGAUAUGCCGAGGUGGGCCCAAAAGAUAAUAUAUGCGAUUCAAACUCGUAACCAUCUCACGGUGGGAAACUACACCCUCAACCAGUAUGUUGCUUCAGUUGGUGAAGACAUCUGCGGUGGAAUGAAUCCCUGCUUACGCAAAUGAUUUUGAUGGGAUACAACGAUUUAGAAGGGAAGAGUACGAUGAAGGUUGACCCACUGACAAGGGGUUGUGAGACCCACUUGACAGAUCGAGCGAAGUCAUAUGAAACAAGCCGACAAGUUCAAAAACCAAAUGGACCACAAGAUAGAUCAAUGACGGCCGGAAAUAUAAGCUCGGGCCACUUGGUCAGAAAAAGAAACAAGAAAGCAUAUGAGCCAAACCCACUACAGGAAAGUCGAUCUGACAUGAUAGUUUACACUUCUAUGGAGCUGAUCCAAGGGAAGAUCUGGUUCCUCGCUAUUUCGAAUCGUCCCAUAGUUGCUCAGAGGCUCCUCACGAGUUAUCAAGGAUCGAUGGGCAUAGAUAGAUCAGUUGAUCGACCCACACCAACUAAGCUUAGCAAAUUGAGCUGAUUUUACCAACCCGAAGCCAAAUAAGCUAAUUAGUUGUGGAGCCAAAAAACAACCGGACGAUAAACCCAUAUAUAUAAAAUAUCAGAAAUAUCUUAGUACAUACCCCUUUAAAGCAUG